AUUGAACGCUGGCGGCAUGCCUAACACAUGCAAGUCGAGCGAGCGGCGGACGGGUGAGUAAUGUAUGGGGAUCUGCCCGAUAGAGGGGGAUAACUACUGGAAACGGUGGCUAAUACCGCAUACUAUCGGAUCAACCCAUAUGGGAUUAGCUAGUAGGUGGGGUAAAGGCUCACCAAGGCGACGAUCCGUAGCUGGUCUGAGAGGGUGAUCAGCCACACUGGGACUGAGACACGGCCCAGACUCCUACGGGAGGCAGCAGUGGGGAAUUUUGGGCAAUGGACGAAAGCCUGAUCGAGCCAUGCCGCGUGUAUGAAGAAGGCUUUCGGGUUGUAAAGUUCUGUUGGCAGAGAAGCGGUAUCUAACCAGAAAGCAACGGCUAACUACGUGCCAGCAGCCGCGGUAAUUC
Molecule: ribosomal RNA, 406 nt
Filed under: uncultured bacterium
Lineage: Bacteria
Description: partial 16S ribosomal RNA
Rfam family: Bacterial small subunit ribosomal RNA
Source: RNAcentral